CCCUUCCCAGGAUGGCACCUGGAGAGUUUCCAUUACUCUACCAGUCUCGACUAUGGGAGGGAGAGUCAAGCAGAGGCAUACCUAUUCCAUUCCUGGUGUGGCCAGUGGCUAGUGAGUGGAAGGGAAUAUGCUACAAGU
Tachyglossus aculeatus (Australian echidna) is the source of this 138-nucleotide small nucleolar RNA. Lineage: Eukaryota; Metazoa; Chordata; Mammalia; Monotremata; Tachyglossidae. The record is from RefSeq and is a predicted model, not a curated record.